UUGAACGCUGGCGGCAUGCUUUACACAUGCAAGUCGAGCGGCAGCGGGGGCUUCGGCCCGCCGGCGAGUGGCGAACGGGUGAGUAAUGCAUCGGAACGUACCCAGUCGUUGGGGAUAACUACGCGAAAGCGUAGCUAAUACCGCAUACGCCCUGAGGGGGAAAGCGGGGGACCUUCGGGCCUCGCGCGCUUGGAGCGGCUGAUGUCGGAUUAGCUAGUUGGUGGGGUAAAGGCCUACCAAGGCGACGAUCCGUAGCUGGUAUGAGAGGAUGAUCAGCCACACUGGGACUGAGACACGGCCCAGACUCCUACGGGAGGCAGCAGUGGGGAAUUUUGGACAAUGGGCGCAAGCCUGAUCCAGCCAGGCCGCGUGAGUGAAGAAGGCCUUCGGGUUGUAAAGCUCUGUAAGACGGAAAGAAAUCGGGCGCGUGAAGAGCGGGCCUGGAUGACGGUACUGGCAGAAGAAGCACCGGCUAACUACGU
Molecule: ribosomal RNA, 482 nt
Filed under: uncultured bacterium
Lineage: Bacteria
Description: bacterial SSU rRNA
Rfam family: Bacterial small subunit ribosomal RNA
Source: RNAcentral